CAGCGCCACGAGUGGUAACCACGUUUAUUGGGCCUAAAGCGUCCGUAGCCGGUUUGAUAAAUCUUUUGUGAAAUUGUACAGCUUAACUGUACAGCGUGCAAGAGACACUGUCAAACUUGAGACCGGGAGGAGUCAGAAGUAUUCCAGAGGGAGCGGUAAAAUGUUAUAAUCUCUGGAGGACUACCUGUGGCGAAGGCAUCUGACCAGAACGGAUCUGACGGUGAGGGACGAAAGCUAGGGGAGCGAACCGGAUUAGAGACCCGAGUAGUCC
RNAcentral lists this ribosomal RNA (271 nucleotides) under uncultured archaeon. RNAcentral's name for it is "partial 16S ribosomal RNA". It matches the Rfam family "Archaeal small subunit ribosomal RNA", at positions 477 to 747 of the family's 1478-position model. The record is from RNAcentral.